Molecule: ribosomal RNA, 1312 nt
Filed under: marine metagenome
Description: bacterial LSU rRNA
Rfam family: Bacterial large subunit ribosomal RNA
Source: RNAcentral
GAGAUAUAGAUUUUGAGGGGUAGAGCACUAAAUAGGCUAGGGGUAAGAAAUUCUUACUAAACCUAAUAAAACUCCGAAUACUCAAAAUUGUUCCUCAGCAGACAGACGGUGAAUGCUAACGUCCAUCGUCGAGAGGGAAACAACCCAGACCACCAAUUAAGGUCCCCAAGUUAUGGUUAAGUGUGAAAGGAUGUGAAGACUCCAAAACAGCCGGGAGGUUGGCUUAGAAGCAGCCAUCCUUUAAAGAUAGCGUAACAGCUCACCGGUCUAAUUAAGAGACUUUGCGCCUAAGAUGUAACGGGGCUCAAACCAUACACCGAAAUUGUGGAUUGAUAGAAGUCUUCGGACUUUUAUUUCUGGUAGCGGAACGUUCUGUAAGCCUGUGAAGAGAGACCCGUGAGGGCUCUUGGAGGUAUCAGAAGUGCGAAUGCUGACAUAAGUAACGACAAACAGAGUGAAAGACUCUGUCGCCGAGAGUACAAGGGUUCCUGCGUAAAGUUAAUCUUCGCAGGGUUAGCCGGCCCCUAAGACGAGGACGAAAGUCGUAGUCGAUGGGAAUCAGGUAAAUAUUCCUGAGCCAGGUGGUAGUGACGGAUCAUGUAAAUUGUUAACUCUUAUUGGAUUGAGUUGGCUGUGAAGUGGUCCCAGGAAAUAGCUCCAUCAUAAGACCGUACCCCAAACGGACACACGUGUACCGGUAGAGUAUACCUAGGCGCUUGAGAGAAUGAUGUUGAAGGAACUCGGCAAAAUGCUUCCGUAACUUCGGGAUAAGGAAGACCCAAUAAUGGGCAACCAUAUUUGGGUGGCACAAGCCAGGGAGAAGCGACUGUUUAUCAAAAACACAGCACUCUGCUAACACGUAAGUGGAUGUAUAGGGUCUGACGCCUGCCCGGUGCUGGAAGGUUAAAGGGAGAUGUGCAAGCAUCAAACUGAAGCCCCAGUGAACGGCGGCCGUAACUAUAACGGUCCUAAGGUAGCGAAAUUCCUUGACGGGUAAGUUCCGUCCUGCAUGAAUGGCGUAACGAUUUCUCCGCUGUCUCCAACAUCAACUCAGUGAAAUUGAAUUCUCCGUGAAGAUGCGGAGUUCCCGUGGUUAGACGGAAAGACCCCGUGCACCUUUACUACAACUUUAUAUUGGUGUUAGGAAUGACAUAUUUAGCUUAGGAGGGAGACUUUGAAGUUUUGGCGUCAGCCAAGAUGGAGUCACCAGUGAAAUACCUCUUUUGUUAUUCUUGACAUCUAACUGCUAGCCGUAAUCCGGCAGCAAGACACUGUAUGGUGGGUAGUUUGACUGGGGCGGUCGCCUCCCAAA